RNAcentral lists this long non-coding RNA (739 nucleotides) under Sus scrofa (pig). RNAcentral's name for it is "NORFA 739". The record is from RNAcentral. Lineage: Eukaryota; Metazoa; Chordata; Mammalia; Artiodactyla; Suidae.
CAUCAGCCUCCCUGCCUCCUGGCCCGUGUGCUGGUCUCCCAAAGGCCUGAGGAAGGAACCUGCGUGGGAAUCCCCUGAGUUGCCCUGCAACCAGUGAGUCAUCCUUUUCCAGCCCGCCAGGACGGAGGUGUCACCCUGCUGAGCUGGCGGCCGGGUGGCCACUCUUCAGUCAGCAGCCCUUCCUUGCCAAGCUCCCUGUCCCCAGCGCUCCGCCCCCAAAAUGUGUGCAUGACAAUCCUCUGAAAGCGGCAGUCCCUAACGCGAGAGCGUUUUCAUGCUGGGAGAUCGGCAGGUACUUCCAGGCUGGAUCAGCCCCAGCAGUGCCAAGGGCUGUAGGCAGCCGCCUUCCUGGGAAGCAAGACUUUGUCCGGGAAACCUCCUCUGGACGCAGGGUGGGGCCCCGAGCCCAGGGCUUCUGCGUUGUCCCCAAUGCGGGAAGGGGGAGUGGGCUCUGACCCUCCCGGGGGAGUCACCGCAGAAGGCGACUUCCUCAUUUUACCCUGAAGAAAGAGGGGUGCAGUGCUGCAGGUGAAGCUCCCCUCGGCAGCAGGAACCCUGCGGAGGCGUCACAGGACGGCCCCGGCCUCCCAGCGCCGGGAGGAGAUCCGUUUAGGUCCGUUAGAGCUGGCUUAGCUGUGGGGUUAGAGAGAAACCCCAUGGAACUUGCGGGGGGAGGACUGGGAGACGUUUCCGCAGCUGCUUGUGGCAAACUCAGCCUCCAAGUUCAUGGAGCUUGUGU